AGAUAACAGCCCACCAAGCCGACGAUCGGUAGCCGGACUGAGAGGUUGAACGGCCACAUUGGGACUGAGACACGGCCCAGACUCCUACGGGAGGCAGCAGUGGGGAAUAUUGCACAAUGGGGGAAACCCUGAUGCAGCGACGCCGCGUGAAGGAAGAAGUAUCUCGGUAUGUAAAGCUCUAUCAGCAGGGAAGAAGAAAGACGGUACCUGACUAAGAAGCCCCGGCUAACUAC
Molecule: ribosomal RNA, 233 nt
Filed under: uncultured bacterium
Lineage: Bacteria
Description: partial 16S ribosomal RNA
Rfam family: Bacterial small subunit ribosomal RNA
Source: RNAcentral